CCUACGGGAGGCAACAGUGGGGAAUAUUGGACAAUGGGGGGAACCCUGAUCCAGCGACGCCGCGUGAGUGAAGAAGUAUUUCGGUAUGUAAAGCUCUAUCAGCAGGGAAGAAAAUGACGGUACUUGACUAAGAAGCCCCGGCUAACUACGUGCCAGCAGCCGCGGUAAUACGUAGGGGGCAAGCGUUAUCCGGAUUUACUGGGGGGAAAGGGAGCGUAGACGGGGCAGCAAGUCUGAUGUGAAAGGUCGGGGCCCAACCCCGGGACUGCAUUGGAAACUGUUGAACUGGAGUACAGGAGAGGUAAGCGGAAUUCCUAGUGUAGCGGUGAAAUGCGUAGAUAUUAGGAGGAACACCAGUGGCGAAGGCGGCUUACUGGACUGUAACUGACGUUGAGGCUCGAAAGCGUGGGGAGCAAACAGGAUUAGAUACCCCAGUAGUC
Molecule: ribosomal RNA, 440 nt
Filed under: uncultured bacterium
Lineage: Bacteria
Description: partial 16S ribosomal RNA
Rfam family: Bacterial small subunit ribosomal RNA
Source: RNAcentral